UUCAUUAAUUGCUAUUGUUAACCUGUUACGUUAAAAUUAUAAAGCGAGGUCAUAAACAAUCAUAUCGGGUAGAACAUUAAUCAGAGAAUCCAUUAUUUUCCACUCGGCUUUGUAAAGCACUGAGAGAAUAUAGUGCCAAUUAGCAUUGCAGGUUUUGUAAUUAGGAGGAUUUUGUGAUUAAAGGAUUUACUGGAAGAUCUAAGAUUGGUAAAAAAGCAGAAACUAAAUAGUUUAUUUUCUGUAAUGGAUUAUCUAAUGGAUGUCAGCAAGGAUGCGUUUUCUCGUUCAGAAAAAGCACACUUAUUUUCUUGUGAGAGGAUAAAAUCAUCUGCAAUAGCUUAUAUUGUUUUAUAUUAUUUUCAACAUUUUUAGUGAUCAUUAAUAAAUAGAGAUACUCUUGAGAACUAGCUCUAAGACAAAUAAAACAUAUAAAAUUUAAAAAAAUGUGACUUAACAUUCUUUAUUUUUAGGUUUUUC
Anthonomus grandis grandis is the source of this 477-nucleotide long non-coding RNA. RefSeq lists it as uncharacterized. NCBI's taxonomy places the organism in Eukaryota, Metazoa, Arthropoda, Insecta, Coleoptera, Curculionidae. The transcript has 3 exons. The record is from RefSeq and is a predicted model, not a curated record.